This is a long non-coding RNA of Ostrea edulis (European flat oyster), 3118 nucleotides long. RefSeq lists it as uncharacterized. The record is from RefSeq and is a predicted model, not a curated record. NCBI's taxonomy places the organism in Eukaryota, Metazoa, Mollusca, Bivalvia, Ostreida, Ostreidae. The transcript has 4 exons.
CAUCAGAGUCAUAUACUGAAGUUAUCUUUUUUGUAACUUGAUUAACUUUUGUUUUGAAAAAUGUGAACCAAUUGCAACUACUCCAAAUUAAAUAUGAUAUCCUUACUAUGGUUUACCUUAAACUGCAUUUUAAAAGAAUGACUAUCUGCGGAAUUCGAAGUGGGAUUAAUUCAAUGAAAGAAUUUACAUUUGUAUGCAAUGUCAUUAACUAAAAUGUAGACUAUUAAAAAUACGCUAUAUAAAGUGCUUUACAAUACUGUGGAAAAAGAUCAAAUCCUCCAAGCAAUAAACACACACAAAGUAUCAGGUUUCUGAAACAGAUUAACCCCUUCUCUACCGUACCGGUCAAUUUGACCUGUGGCGCGUAAAAACGGGACAGCGCAAAAGGAGUGCCUCUAAAUCUUUCAAACUACGGUCAUAAGAUAUAUAAUCUAUAUAUCAUAUUUUUGGAAAUUUUCUCUAUUUUUUAACUAUGUAAAAAUCAGUUAAGUAAAUAAAGCUAUUAAAUUAAUAAAAGCAUUUAAAGCGAAAGAUAGCUUCGUCUAAAUAUGAGGCAACGCUUUGUCGAAAGGCCAUUUCCCCCCUCGAUACGAUUUUUUUAAUCUCCUGUAUGAAUGCACUAUUUUUUUUAUAUUUUUGAAAAGCAUAUAUUCCCUGCUUUCAGAACAUAUAAAAAUUAUUUCUAAUGCCUGGCAAAGUUAUAAGAAAAUAGCUAUUUUUUGCACAUGUACGCUUUCUUACAAUUUUAUUUCUCAAUGUUUAAACAGAUCGGCGUUUUACCAAUAUUCAUAUAUGGAAAUAGGGAAAAGUAAAUACAGCCUGUAAAAGUACAGGAAAUUUUCUUUUUGAUGGGCCCUUAUUCGUGUUGUAAUUCUUGUUAGUUUUUAUAUUACGAUAAAAUGAAAUUGGGACAUGCUGCGCGGUUUUCUUUAAAAUUAUCGAUAAAACGUCGGUGCUGAAAGCGAUCGACGCGCAUCGCACAAUAAAGUAGUGAAAACUAUUUGUAUUGUCCUCUGUUGGUAAUAUGGAUACUUUUUGAUACACUAAAACAAUAUACAUAUAUGUAUGAAAUAAUCAGCCAGGUAUUCUCUGCUUUAAAAAAAAAAAGAAGUAUAAAAACCAUUAUUGGUAAAUAACAGUUACACCACCUACUUGAAUUGUAACUUCAUAAAACACCUAAUGAGAAUGUUACAUCGGUAGAGUGAAUAAAAAAAAAUACUUCAAAUUCAGAUAUAAACGUUAUGUAAUAUUUAUUCGGUAUAGAAAUAAUUUUUUCUGCCAAACAAAGAAAACAAAAAGACCAGUCUGCAUAUUGUAUAUACAUGUAUAAUACUUUUCCCCCCGUGAUCCGGAUCGCGGCCGCGGGGUUUUCUGAAAGUGUCCACGGGCAACAUACGUGUUUCCGUUUCAAAAAACAACAACACAACAAACGCUUGUAUUGUAUUUUACAUCUUGAAAACGACCUGAUGUCAGAUGAAGAAGUCUGAAGAUACCUUGGAUAUCCUGUUGCAGGAUGACCCAAACGAUCAUGCAUUCAGUAUAAACAUGUUAUUGACAUCCCAAUAUUUAGUGGGAAGCUUCCAGGUAUCUUCCACUAGUGACAGUCUACUGGCAAAUCCAGACAUGCAUUGGAAGUAUGUUGAUGUGGAGGACACAGGGACACCUGAUCCAAGAACUGUGGCAUUUCAUUCGGAGUGACAACCUGGCAUGCAGUUGAUAUGGGACCUGAUUAUUCAGAGAAUUGCAGAUUUUAUGAAGCUGUUUUUGACAGAAGAUUUGGUUUUCUCCAUCUGUGUUGCCACCAACCAUUAUGCUGUGAUGGUCAUAUCUAGGGGGAAGGAUUGUCAUAUGCUUCCCAAGGAAGUUCGAAGCCUCUCACUGAAGAGGAAUGUACAGAUUUUUGGGCAUUAUCUUAUACAUGUCUGCUGAGAAGUUCCAGUCGAUAGACAGAUAUUGGUCAACGCAUGCCCCUAUCGGAACAACCUAGUAUCAAGAAUUAUGUCUAGAAAUAUGUUUUAAGAGGUUGAAUAUAAGAACAAAUUUUAUUAAAUAUAAUGCAAGUACAUUUAAAUUUAGUGAUUGAAAGUAAGUACUUGAACAUUCGUAUACAUGUACAAUGAACUUGAGGAGGAAAAACGGGCAUUAUUUUCGCAUAGCAUUUGAUAUCAUAAUGGUGUUGUUGCUUAGCAACCAAAUAUAUUUGAAUAUAAAAAAAUUGAUUUUUUUUAGAUUUUAAAGGGACUGGUUCACAAUUUUUGAUAAAAAUAUUUUUCAUUUUUGAUGUUAAACAUUAGAAAUAUAACUCAUUUAAUGUUGAUUGCCAAAAUUUUGACCUUCUGAAUGCAAGAAUGAAAGCAAUAUUUUAGCCUUAAAUAUGUGUUAUGUAAACAAAGACUCGAGUCUUUUUAGGUAAACAAACAAACAAGUGAAAUAUUGAUUUUGUAAUAUAAUGCAUCUUAAUUUUGCAUAGUCACAAAUUUUAACUUUUAGAUGACACAUUUCGCCUAAAAAAUGCUUGAAAUAUGAAAUAUAAAAUAAUACUUUGAUCGAUAUCCAUUUCUUUUGAAAAUUUCGUAAACAAUAGCAUACCGCAAUCUUUGUUUACAAAACAAAUAAUAAAUUCUCUAAAAUGAGCUUCUGUGAUGAUGUAUAACCUUAAUUUUCAUGUGAAAUCUUUCAAACACAUUAGACAGUAGAUUUUGAUCAUUAAAAGUGAAAAACAAAAUUUUGGGCAAAAUCGUGAAUCAGUCCCUUUAACAGGAAAGAUCUUUGUUUUAAUGUUGCAAUAUUUAUACUAUUUAGUGGGAUACAAUGGCAAAACGUCAUAUUAUUAGAAAAUGAUGAAUAUGUAUAUGAAGUACGAAAUUUUCAUUUUAUGACCUUUGACCUUAAUUCUCUUCAUUAUAUUUUUUGUUAAAAACCUUUUAAAAUGAUUAAGAUCUAGUCAAAGAUUAUAUUUUUAAAAUAAUGUGACAUUUACUAAUCAUCAUGGAAUGUAAUUAUGUUUGAAUUGUGUCGAAUGGAUGUAGAAAGGCAAAUUAUGGUCAAAAUUACACCAUGAGUGUUGUUACUUAGCAACCAAAAAUAUUUGUUUGUCAAUAAAAUUGAUUAAUUUGAU